RNAcentral lists this ribosomal RNA (274 nucleotides) under uncultured bacterium. Its description in RNAcentral is "partial 16S ribosomal RNA". It matches the Rfam family "Bacterial small subunit ribosomal RNA", at positions 523 to 796 of the family's 1533-position model. The record is from RNAcentral.
AUACGAAGGGGGCAAGCGUUGUUCGGAAUAACUGGGCGUAAAGCGCACGUAGGCGGAUUGAUCAGUUAGAGGUGAAAUCCCAGGGCUCAACCCUGGAACUGCCUUUAAUACUGUCAGUCUAGAGAUCGAGAGAGGUGAGUGGAAUUCCGAGUGUAGAGGUGAAAUUCGUAGAUAUUCGGAGGAACACCAGUGGCGAAGGCGGCUCACUGGCUCGAUACUGACGCUGAGGUGCGAAAGCGUGGGGAGCAAACAGGAUUAGAUACCCGAGUAGUCC